Molecule: small RNA, 55 nt
Filed under: Arabidopsis thaliana (thale cress)
Lineage: Eukaryota; Viridiplantae; Streptophyta; Magnoliopsida; Brassicales; Brassicaceae
Description: ATSL122200
Source: RNAcentral
AAAAGAUAAAGAAAAACAAGAAAUAUUUUGUUUUUCGAUCUGAAAAAGUGAAAGC